GAUGAACGCUGGCGGCGUGCUUAACACAUGCAAGUCGAACGGAAAGGCUCCUGCUUGCCGGGGUACUCGAGUGGCGAACGGGUGAGUAACACGUGGGUGAUCUGCCCUGCACUUCGGGAUAAGCCUGGGAAACUGGGUCUAAUACCGGAUAGGACCACAUUUUGGAUGGUGUGGUGGAAAGUUUUUCGGUGUGGGAUGAGCUCGCGGCCUAUCAGCUUGUUGGUGGGGUAAUGGCCUACCAAGGCGUCGACGGGUAGCCGGCCUGAGAGGGUGUACGGCCACAUUGGGACUGAGAUACGGCCCAGACUCCUACGGGAGGCAGCAGUGGGGAAUAUUGCACAAUGGGCGCAAGCCUGAUGCAGCGACGCCGCGUGGGGGAUGACGGCCUUCGGGUUGUAAACUCCUUUCGCUAGGGACGAAGCGCAAGUGACGGUACCUGGAGAAGAGGCACCGGCUAACUACGUG
Molecule: ribosomal RNA, 465 nt
Filed under: uncultured bacterium
Lineage: Bacteria
Description: partial 16S ribosomal RNA
Rfam family: Bacterial small subunit ribosomal RNA
Source: RNAcentral